GAUGAACGCUGGCGGCGUGCCUAAUACAUGCAAGUCGAGCGAACAGACGAGGAGCUUGCUCCUCUGACGUUAGCGGCGGACGGGUGAGUAACACGUGGAUAACCUACCUAUAAGACUGGGAUAACUUCGGGAAACCGGAGCUAAUACCGGAUAAUAUAUUGAACCGCAUGGUUCAAUAGUGAAAGACGGUUUUGCUGUCACUUAUAGAUGGAUCCGCGCCGCAUUAGCUAGUUGGUAAGGUAACGGCUUACCAAGGCAACGAUGCGUAGCCGACCUGAGAGGGUGAUCGGCCACACAGGAACUGAGACACGGUCCAGACUCCUACGGGAGGCAGCAGUAGGGAAUCUUCCGCAUUGGGCGAAAGCCUGACGGAGCAACGCCGCUUGAGUGAUGAAGGUCUUCGGAUCGUAAAACUCUGUUAUUAGGGAAGAACAAAUGUGUAAGUAACUAUGCACGUCUUGACGGUACCUAAUCAGAAAGCCACGGCUAACUACGUG
RNAcentral lists this ribosomal RNA (497 nucleotides) under uncultured bacterium. Its description in RNAcentral is "partial 16S ribosomal RNA". It matches the Rfam family "Bacterial small subunit ribosomal RNA", at positions 28 to 507 of the family's 1533-position model. The record is from RNAcentral.